RNAcentral lists this unclassified non-coding RNA (16140 nucleotides) under Leishmania donovani. RNAcentral describes it as "gene:LdHU3.20.0970(CDS-product:protein_kinase_put ative)". Lineage: Eukaryota; Euglenozoa; Kinetoplastea; Trypanosomatida; Trypanosomatidae. The record is from RNAcentral.
CAACUCCUAAACGCAUCCACACAGCAAUACGUGCGCGUUCUCUUAUUUCACGGGGAGCGUUUUUUUUUUUUGCUCCUUCCUGUUGGCUCUGCUGUGCUCUGAGUCACCAGCAGUGCCAGCGACGUUGCACGCACACACAAGAACUUGCAAGACGCAAUCAUUACGCAUCGUUUUACCUUGUCGUUCCUUUAUCUCCCAUUUUUCGCCAUCCCACACCAUUUACCACUCCGCCCACCCACUUCCCUCCCCGCCUCUGCGGCUUCCCUCACUUUUGCCGGCGGCACAAGGCCAGUCGUGGUGCUUCUUCGUCUCUAUCUCUUGUGUGUCUGUUUCUAUCUUUCCAUCUGCAUCGUCUCCCCCGCUCUUCUCGCAUCGUAGGGUGCACUCAUUUGUGUGUGUGUGUGUGUGUGGGUGUGUCUGCCUGUCCGGAAAGUCGACGUUAACGGCACUUGCUCAAGCUCAGGGUGCCAAGCAGCGCUAAAGCAGGUGGCAGAGACCUCUCAAGGUGCGCACGCGCGACCCAUCGAGGCAGGGAGCGCGAACACCUGGAGGCGGCAGAGGUCAUGCGAAGGGUGCGAACCUUAGCCGGGACCUAAGUAGCGCUAGUGAACGAAAAGCGCACCAAGCAGGCAGCGAGAAGAGCACGAAGUCUGGCAGAGAGACGGAGAAAGCACUAGAACUGCCAAAGCUGCCGAGACGCGCACGCCUGACUCGCCGUGUAGCGAGGCUCUUAUCUAGCUUCCGUGCACAGCAACGCGCGCAGCCCUUCUCCCUUAUCGGCGUAUCUGCACUCUACAAGCACACACACAUACACACACGUCACCUCAUCUCAGCCGUUUCUCCCCUGCAGCCUUUUUGUUUGCCGGUGUUUGUUUUCUCUCUUGUUCCGCCUUGUCCUCUACGAGCAUCUGCCUCAUCUGGUCGCGACAGCUCAGCCGGUUUCCCCAUCACAGAGAAAGCGAGAGACGCCCACGCAUAUACGCAUUCUCUGCUGCACCCGUGUGUUAGAGUAGGUUUUUGUUCUUCUUCAACUUGUUCGCUGCAGUCACCACCGCCCAUCAUCUGCCGUCCCGCCACCAGCACCACCAACUGCUCCUCUUCCUCUUUCGCUCGCCUUCUGCUCUAGGUUCCUCCGUCACCUCCCUUCACCAUCUUUGCCACUCACAGUUUUUUCUGUUCAGCCAUAAAUUUUAUACAUCACCGGAUCUCUGCAGGCGAAGACAGGAAGCCCACACGCCGGAACGGAGAGUGUCUGCGCGUGAGUAUCACUGCUUGUGUGUGUGUGUGUGCGUAUGUAUUCUCAGGUUUCGCUGUCGCUGCACCUUCUUUUCUUUUUGUUUUGGUGUUCGGUGUUUUCCCAUUGUUGUUGUUCUUGCUGGGCGUGCCGCUACCCUCUCUUGUCUCGUUGACUGUUUGGAUGUUUUGGUGGGUUUGCUUCUUUUUUUUUUCGUGUGUGUUUGUGUGUGCGUGUGUGCGUUCCGGCGGCCGCAUUGCUUGUACAUAAAUAUAUAUAUAUAUAUAUAUAUACAUCGCUUCUUUUGCCCUCUCGGCGAUAUUGAUCGUCCCUCCUUCUCCUCCUCUCAUCACCGCCAGCAGCGUGCUCCCUCGCUAUCCGCACGUGCGAACGCGCACAGACACGUUGCACGCAGCGUCCCUCCGCUCCUCGUCGUUUUGCGUCUCUCUUCCGCGCUCUUCCUGCCCGUGUUGUUCGUGAACAAGAACACAGACAGACGUGCCUUUUCGACUCCGUCCUGCAUUCUCCUCUGCUUGCGAGCACUCGUCUCUCUUCUGUUUUGGUUUUUUGAUUUUUAUCUUGCAUUCGUGUGUGUGUGUGUGCGCGCGUGUGUGUGUUCUGUCCGCCCUUCACGUGCUGGUCGCUUUCCUUUCGUUUUCGAUUCGUUGAUCUCUCUGCUAACCUGCGGCUCCACUGUGCUAACCAAGCGAUAGAAGGGCAAAAAGACGCAAACAGCGAUGGCAGCAGCGAGCCGCCCUGCAGCUGCGCACACCAAUCACAAAUAGCGAAAAGGAGGCAGGAAUAAAGAGAGGGCAUACACCGUAUCGUGGAACCGUUGUCAUCGCUGCUGAUCGCCUCCUCACUUUACUGGCAAGCACAGGCAGAGGGAGACAGCGAGCGAGACAGAGAAAGAGCAAGCGAAACACACAGACGAGUAUCUAUCCUCUCCUUGAGGACGGAGGCUUUUGUUUUUUUUUUCUUCAUUCGCGUAUUGUGGUCUGCUCGUAGCGCAUCUCUUGUGGUGUGUACCUCGACCACCACCAACACCCUCCUCGCACAAGUGCCCGCACACAGGCAAACACGCACAUCAUCCUUUCUUUGUCGGAGGGAGGGUCUUCGUUCCGUGCCUUGGCGUCUUCUUUCUUUUUCGCCGUGAGCUCUGCUCUCGUGUGGCGGCUCGAUUCGUUUGUUUUUUCCGCUGUUGUGGUGGUGAUCGUCGUCGUCUUGUCGUCCCUCGAGCUUUCCUCCCUUACGCACUCUGUGCGUGUUCGCCGUGGUGGGAGCGGGCGUGCUGUGCUGAUUUGGUGUGUGUGUGUGUGCGUGUGUGUGUGUAUGCACGGCUAGCAAGGCCGAAAAUCAGAGCUGAAUAGAAGUACGACCUCCGACGCUAUCAUCACACCAGCAAGCGGAAAAGAAAAUUAUUCGUUUUUUUUCCACGCUGGCUGUAGACACCUGUCGCACACACACACACACGUGCAACAUACGCACGUGCGCACACCGUGUCCCCUCCACUCAACCGCAAGGAGCAUAAAAGGGAGCAAGGCCUUCACAAACACCGUCACAACACAGCAGCAAGCAACAAAAUCGGAAAGGCGUCGAACAAGUCACCUUGCAUCGAAAAAAAGGGGGAGAGAGGUGAAAGCGAAGCAAGGCGUGGAGACACUGUACAUCUGUCCCUCUCUUCGUCGCCUGACUGUAGUUGUAAGGGUGCUGCUGCUGCAGCUGAAGUCAACAUGUCCGACUUUUCUUCUUCCUCGAGUGACAGCAGCAGCGACGACGGCAUAUUCACGCGGCGAGUAGAGUUUCAGCAGCGGCAGCGUGGAGCAUCCUCAUCAUCUAGCGUUCCAGCUCUAGGGUCGUCUGCCACUCGCGAUGUAGUGGCCAUUAUAUCUGAGAGCGCUCCGCCUUGUACGGUCGAUGCAGUGGAAGCACCGGCUACGGCAGGAGCAACCACCAGUCGUGCACGCUCACAGCCCCCUGAUGUCGCACCAGUAGUGCUGUCGGAGAGGGUCACCACUCAGACAUCCCUGCAGAGCGCCUCUACGGGGUCUGAGGACAAGAGUAGCCCUGGUGGGUCGCCUGUUCAGCGGCGGCGUCGCCGUGUUGCAGGGACUCGGCCCCCAGCAAUCAAGGGCGCACUCGGUAGCCCUACCGAGCCGGCAACCGAGCCGAAACAGCAGCGAGGACGCCGCUCCUCCGUCUCCGAUCCUGGGUCUCCCUUGGAGCUCCCGCCGCCCAGCCGCUCGUCGAGUCGACAGCGACGCACCUCGGUGCACUCCAUGAGCACCGCGGACCUCGCAGCUGCCACUCUAGUGCGAGCGUCGUCUAACACGCUGUCGACAUCCACCAACAAGCGUACAGGCGGUCGUGGCGGAGGCGGCGUUCGCCGCCGGUACCCUCGCGGUGCUGCCACCACCUCUCUGCGCGCAUUGUCACCCGUCUCGGUGUCGCCGACGGCCAGCGCUGUCAACGCCCGGCUGCUAAGCGAUGAGGCUUACCUCGACAUGUUCCACAUCCCGGCCCUCAUCGCCCAACUUUCGCUAUCGCUGAUGGCGGCGAAGCCGAUCGACCCGCGUGCGUUCACCCGCGACUGGCUGGCUGACCGCCUUGUGAGCGAAGAAGAUGAAGACGACGAUAACGCUGAUGACGGUGGCGGCAGCACCAACAGUGGCAGCGGCGCCCGGGAGCAGGGGAGUCAAGUGCCGCCGAGCGACACAGCCGUCCUGACGCGCUCGACAGAGCUACCCAGCAGCACAAGUUUUGUAUUCCAGGCCAGCGGCAGCACAAUGGGCGACUUCGCCAGUGACAGCGGCGCCGCAAGGCCAUGCUUGACGGAGGUCUCGUACCGCCAAGGUCGUUCAGGGCGACACUCGCGCCAACGCCGCCGAACCAACACGUCAGGUGAAGACGAAGCGGACGAUGUAGCAAAGACACCGCUGGAGGCCGACAGCGACGGGGAUAAAACCGGCACAGUCAUCGAUCGGCCCGCGUCCGUGGGGCACGCCUCGCGCAAGCGCAGGGCUUUUGAGCGGCGCGCGCAGCGGAAGGAUCGGCAGAGCGUCGUGACGCCAUCGGAGUCGCGACAGCGCGGUGUCUGCGGCAUCAGCAAUGGCGCUGAAUCACGCAGAAACGAAAUGUCCGCGUCCUCGAGGAACAAUACGAGCGAUGACGCUGACAGCCGCUCGCCUCGGUGUGGGUCGCUGUUGACCACGCUAGCACCGCCGCCUGCAGAGGCCUGCGAGCACAGGGAGCCGCGAGCGGCGGAGUGUGAGGCGAGCAGUCCGAUGCAGAGAAGCGAGGAAGCCGAACGAAAUGCAACUGCAGCUGCGCCGAGCAGUCUCCCUCCCACACCCAAGACUUCCUCAUCCUCUUCGCCCUCGUCAUCAUCGUCGUCCUUCACCGCCUUCAGGUCUCCUGGAAGUGAUGGUGUGGAGUGGGCACGUGUGGAACUUCAGUCGCGCCGAACAACAGUCGCCGGCUCCUCAGCCUCUGCCGACGUUGACAUUCCGUCGUCUCACCGCAGGAUGACAAUGGAGAGCGAGUCCAGCACCUCGACGGAGGGGCUUUCAGCACCGCAUGGGACCACCCACGGCGAGCACGAGGUACGCCAGAGCUCGAGCAGCUCACGCGCCGCUGAGACUGCUGUGAACGACGUUCCGGCUUUGGUGACGGUGGAACGCAAGGGCAUCCAUAAGAGCUGCAGCAGCAGUAGCAGCAGCAGUGCUGGUGAUGGGGCACACGGGCUGGCGGCACUGGCGCAUGACCGAGUUGGUCACACCAGCGGCCGAGCCAUCGAGCUUUCUACUGCUGCUUCCUCGAUGAUCCGCCCAGAAGCCUCAGUGGCGAAGCGCGGUGCGGCCAAGGAGGAAUUUUCGAGGAGCGACAACGAAGCAGAGGAAGGUGGAGAGGCAGAGCGUCACAGCAACUACGUCGCGGCUGACAUAGCUGAGCCUGCGCACAGUACGACCCGUGGAAGUGAGAAGGACGCAGCAGACGCAGCAGCAGCGGCAGCAGAGAGCCACGGAAGGGACGGCGACGACGACUUCAGCUUCGCCAUGUUUGUUCCCAUCCUCGCUGUGGACGCGACGACGAACGAAGUGAUUGACUACCGCGAAGCUGGGGUGUCACCGCCAUCGGCGCCUGCGUUUUCUCCGACUAGCGGUGGCGCUUGUGCACUGCCGUCCUACCCCACCGUCAGCGCAAGUGGGGUCGGAGGCGGCCACCUUGCGCAGACCCACACCUCUACGGCUGUCACACAAUCGUCAGGCUUUCCUCCGUACGCGACGCGACCCGUCUCCUCCACCUUCAACGUCUUGCCCACGCCGAUGCUCGCCGACUUGGUGGGCGGCGGGGGGCUGACAAACACAAGCUUUGGCCGACGCGGUGUGCCGAACACCAGCUUUGGUCGGCGUCCCGCGCCCAUGGCCGGUGCAGCAGGUCGCUACGUCGACCCAGCCGCUGGCGCCAUGACAGGGAGCUCGUCACCGCCGGCCCCGUUCAUCACGCCGCACGCACCAAUGGAUUUGCCUGCACUUGGUGUUAGCGACGGCGUCGUGGACGGCGAGUCCCUGGAAAAUCUGCAGUUGCUUGGCUUCCCAAAGCUGAAUUCGAACUUGGCGGCCGUCUCUGUCGGAUCGGUUACUGGGGUUCGGACAAGCGGCUCUGCUGUUGUGGCUGGAGAGGCCGCUUCCGUGCGGGAGCGCAAGGCAGUGCAGGAUGACGACGUCGCAGAUUCCAAUACAGCAGCACCGUCGGCGUUCUGUCAAUCCGCGGUGCUGCACGGCGCCACCGACGGCGCACGAAACACGAACCUGUCGCUCACGAAAGACACGUUGGGGCCGGUGGUGGCGUUAUCGACCGCAUCCUCGCCGGUCUCUUCUACGAUGAAGCUAGAGUCGGCGCGCCGACUAGGCAAGCUGCUCGACCAGCUGCCCGCCGCCAAGUACGCUGCUGCCAUUGUGUUCCUGGAGGGUCUGUUGAGCAGCAGUGGAGGCAGCAGCGACGCGGCCGCGACACCGGAGAGCGAGUCGAUCAGCAUGAUGGCAAACAUCGGUGAUGCGUCGAACCGCAAUCGCGGUCUUCUGAACCUUACGAGCACAGCAGCCGACACAACACUGGGGAGCGUAGGCUUGUCAGGUGACGGGUCGUCGCCGCUGGUCGGGUCGAUCACGCCAGGGCGGCCGUGGUCGGGCACGUUUGGGCCCGGCCGGAGUCCGACGGGCCGGGCGCGGAGCUUUGCACACCUUGUCGCCGGUGGGAGUAGCCAGGCGCCUGCCUUGGCAGCGAGCGGCCGCAACGAGGAUGGCGCGGGUGCUUUAGCGAUGGUUAGCCGAGCGCCGGAGGGCGGCCACUCGAGGUCUCGCUCCAAAGGCGGGUCCACCUCGGUGGAGGCGUUGGUGCGGGAUGCACUCAGCCAAAGCGUGCUCCGAUCACUCCCGCCAACGCACGAGGAGGUACCUGGCAGCGUGCCCUCAUUGCCCUUGCGCUUGGAGGUCUCAGGGCGUGGCGCCGGCGAGGGAACCAGCAUGGGCAUGCAUCGUGUGCCCUCUCCCACACGGCUGGAAAACACGCAUGGCGAGCGAUUCGCGAGCACCGCUACAUCCACCGCACGUGCCAACACGUCGCGAGGGAGCUCACCCGUCCCGGUUGUCCCUGGCGGCGGCAGCGAUGACGUUACUUUACAGCACCCACCAUCCCAGUCAGAGCGCAGCAACUUGUCCUUCUACAAGCAGCCGUCCAGCACCGAUAUGUCGAACCUGCGUCGUCGAUCUUCAUCACCGUCACCCGGCGGAUAUGCGCUCACUGCCGCGGCGCUCCAGCAGCAGCAGCAGUCGCAACAACAACCGGUGACCAGAAAAGCGACAGAGGACCGUCUCGGCAGCGCUGUCGCCACCAUGCUUCCACAGUCGCUCAGUGGGCCACCGCCGUUGUCCCCCGCAGGUAACUCUAGCCUCGCCACGACGGGCAUCUCUGUUAGCGAGCAGAAGCUUAUGGGCGUGGCUGUGCCGACGCAACCGGGAGCAAGCUGCGUGGCUGACCACGACGAGGCCACAACGCCAGAGCACAGCACUGCACGCACUGCCACGGCCGCUGAUGCACGGGGGGCGGACAGCGGCAAUGAGGACCACCAGGGCGCGGCGUUUGGCGGAUCUGACAGCUGCGACCUUGGCAGCUACGCGGCACAACAGCGUCAAAACCAAGCACUGCAGCAUCACCAUGGCAUCGCCUCUUCCUCUGACCAGAGCCUCGCCGCUCACGCAACGGACCAAAGCACCGUCGAUCGAUUUGCAACCACUGGUGCAGCUGCUGAGGCUGCGGAGCCGAGCGCAACCGUCGCGCCGAAGGCGCUGGAGGGCACACAACGGAGGUGCAGCAACGGGAACGGUGGUUCUUUAUUGCUGCUAGAGCAGCGCGGCGCGCGUGGCGACGGCGACGAGAGCACCCUUCCCCCAGAGUGCGGCACCCAUGAGCAGUUUAUGCCGCUCGACGCGGCGGCGAAUCCCAUUAGCCUGCACACGCAUUCAGCGGAAUCGGUGUCGUCGCUGUCGAGCGGCACUGCGCCGAUCACCAAUUCAGGUGCCGAUGGCGGUGGCGGUCGACGCGCCGGCAACGCCCCGGGAUACUGGCCUGGGACCUUUGGCAACUCCCAAGUCUCUGGUUCGGCUGCUGCGGAGGCCCCUCAAGAGCGGCCGCAGAGCGGUCGAGAGCUCUGCAGUAGCGCCGCCAAAUCCUCGUCUGCGUCCGCAGGGGGAAGCAGCGGUGUGGUGGGCUGGGGCGGCACGGUGUCCGACUCUCCAUCCCCGCCUCUGCACGCACAUCAUCCGCACAGCGCCGGAAGAGAGCUGGAGUUCGACGAUGUCAAUCUCGGCGCCACUUUGCGGAUGGCGGUGGCUCUCGCCGCCGCCGCAGGCACUCAGUCGGCGCGAACGGUGUAUGGCAGCCACAGCAGUAGCAAAGACAGCAUGAACGGGCCUGCCAUCAAGAGCAGCACCCCGAACCAGUCUGCCGGGGUGGCCGUCGUUUCGGGGGCGAAUGUCGUGACGGCGGAUCCUUUCGCCAGCGCGGAUGCCAAUGAGGGGCUCAGCAGUCUUGCCACAGCAGACGAAACAUACGUCAACGACCUCUUUGUGACCCACUCAAGCCAGAGCCCCCCUACGUUGCACGGCAACAACCACAAACCCCUGCUACGCAUGGUGGAUGGCAGCGGCGCUGGCGAAGAUUGCGUCUCUCUGCCGUCUUCGCAGACGGUGUCGCUGCUGAACACGUGCAGCAGCUCCGUCGCCGAAGGGGGCGACGUGUCCGCGGCGACCGCGUCGAUAUUACCACCAGCGAUACCGCCAGUGGCGGUCAGCGCAGAUGGGACCGUUCUCGCCACGCCUAUUACGGCGGCGAUGACCCCCAUCAUCCUCGAGCCCUCGACGCAGUCGCCGCCGCGCUCGGAGCUGCCGAUGGUCACGUCAUCGGUUGUGGUCGCAAUGAACUCGUUCUUCUCCCGAGAGGACCACGUCGCACCGGAGGAGCUGGAGGUGGUUCGCGAGGUCGUGGCUCACUACGACGCCUUCGCCUCCUUGGAUGAGACGCAGCUGGAGACGCUGGUGCGCACAAUGGGGAGGAUGGAGCUGCAGCGCGGGGCCACCGUUGUGCGCGAGGGCGAUAGCACGCUAGGGCAGCUGCUGCUCAUCGUGUCCGGCAAGCUGACGAUCUCGCGCAAAGGACUCGUCACCCGCACACUGGCGCGUGGGCAGUUUUACGGCGAAAUGGAGAUGUCGUACCACGUGGAGCGCAGCCGCGUCACCUUGACAGCCGCCACACCCACCGUGGUGCUAUACGCACUGAAGAAGGUGGACUAUCAGAAGCUCGUCAUUCAUGAGAAGGAUGCUCGAAGGUACAUGUUUCUACAGUACGUCAACGAGUGUGUGCUGUUCAAAGGGCUCUCCCCCUACAUCAAGAUGAGGUUGGCCGACUCGUUCCGCGUGUGCCGGCUGCGCAAAGGCACCAAGCUGACAGAGCAGGGCGCGUCGGUGGAGUGGAUGUACCUGCUUAUGUCGGGCAAUGUGCGCAUGACAUACCAAGCCCCGCCCAGUACUGGGGGAGAGACGAGCGAUUGGCCGUUGCCAAGGCGCGGUGCUGCGCCGGAAGAGGAGGCGCGCCACACGGUCACCACCUCUCACUCUUUUUCAAACUUUGCCGGCUCAACCACACUCAGCGAGGCACACAUGUCCAGCGCCGCGUCUGCCGCAGCGGCUUCGACGGUCGCCGGCACUUCCACGACACGGUGCGGCACCGCCCCCAGCGGCAUUACCGGCUCCUUGUCAUCCUCGCUCACGCCGCUGACCGUCGCUUCCCAGCUGCCGUCUUCGGCACUGUUGUUGUCGCAAGCGGCAAUGGCGAGCUUGAACGCAGGUGCUCAGCAGCAGGACAUGCUGGCAGAGCGCGCCGCGUCCUCUGCUGAGGCUUGCAAAGAAAGCCCUCUGAUCAGCAUGGUGUCGCCGUCACCUGGCGCCAACGCCGCUACGUCACGCAUGCCACAGCUGCUGCACUUGCCGAACGCAAAGGCAGCACACGCUAACAGCCGCGGCAGGAGCGGUGACCACCUCGCAGAGCAAGGCGCAGACGACGGACCGCCACGGCCCAACAGUUCGCGCCCUCGCAGCCGUCGACUGCAGAGCCAGCAGGACCGCAGCGUGAGUGGCUGGCAAGGCCUUUCGCAGCCUAGCGCAUCGGCAGCAGAGUCGCUGGACACCGACAACACCAAGCCGCCGUCGCCGCUGUCCACUUCAGCCUCUGUGCGGCAGUCGGCGAACACGUUGCUGGACACCACCCCCCACAGCAACGCCGCGAGCACGGUGACGACCUCCCUCACAAACACAGCCGCCGCCCUCGCAGGGGCAGCUGGCGUCCACAAAACCGUAGUCGUGGUGGAUCGCUCAAAGGGACAGCUGGUCGGUGAGACGGAGUUUGUGUUCAAGUGCAAGGGCCUCUUCACUGCGGUUGCCACGACACCUGUGCAGGCAGCGCGUAUCAGUCGCCUGCACUUCGAGGCCAUCAUGACUCGUGCCGUCGUCGAGGAGAUGAAGCGCAGCAUGUUGUUGAACCCAGACUACUACUUUUUUGAGUUCACCGUGCCCGAGGCGUUGAAGGAAGACAUGCGGCGCAUGCUAUUCCGAUUGAAUGUUGGGCCGGCGGCACGCCGGCGCACUCGGCACGCGCAGCAGCAGCAGCUCCUUCGGCAUUCGGUGACGGGGGUGGAAGGCACGGUAUCGGGCUCACGCAGCCGCGGCGGCACAGCCGGAGGGAAUAGAGACAGCGAAGCCGGCCGCCGCCAUUGCAGGCAGAGUAUGGUGUUAUCGCGUCGCACUCAGCGCGAGCAUAACCGCGCCUCCUUCAUGGACAACAUAACAGGCGGGCCCGGCGGUUCUAGCAACGGUCCGAACGGGACGACCGGCAGCAGCGGCAGUAACAGUCACAGCACGUCACCGCCGCUUGUCGCUGUGUGUGUGCAGGACGGUGGUCGCGAACGCAACGAUGGUAGCACCUCUCAGGCGGGGAGCAAGCGGCACCACGCCGGCCACCGUCGCUUCCGCACUGCGCCGCUGGAGAUCAGCCCGACGAUGGCGCGCUUGUCGACGGAAAGGGCAACCGCCGACAGCGUUGACGCAGCAGGAAUGGAGUCUUCCGCAUUGCACUAUCUCGCAGCGCCAACUGUGUGCGGCGGCCCCUUCGCAAGCCCGGCAGUGGCCAGCACCGCUGUCGUCUCAUCCACGAGUGCUGGAGAGGAUUCGGUGUCGUUCACCCCUGCACCGGCGGCGACCAUGGGCAGCAUGGGCAACGUGAAGGGGAGAGGCAGUAGCAGCGAUGGUGAUCACAACCGCUAUUCGCGCGCCACAGCCCGUCUUACCACGGCGGGGCGGCGCACCAGCUUCACGAAGCACUCCUCCACCACCACGAGUAUCCGGCGCCGUGUCAGCACGCGUGGAGAGAUUGUCUUCUCGGGUAGCCGCAACCUUUACCGCUUUACAGCGGAGGCGAUGAGCAUGAAUGAGAGCAUCGUCAUCGCCGUCGUCGUGGACGGCACGAUCAUCCGAUGGAACUCCGUCGCGCAGAGCGUCACCGGCUAUGCGCCGUUUGAGGCGAUCGGCAAGAGCGUUUUCGACUUCAUCGUCUCCGAGGACGGGCGGCAGCACAUGCGUGACACCCUCGCCGUCGCCGCGCGCUUUGCCGGCAGGUGGGAGCAGUACAACAUGCGAGGACUGCAGGAGCAGCGCGUCUUCCCGUUUCGCCAAAACGCCGGACUCUACCAAGUCGGUCUAGCGCUCUCGGUCAUCCCGUCCAACUACGCCAAGACGGCGGAGGUGCUCCUGUUGAUUGGCCGGGAGGGCAAGUAUCGGGCGGCCAGCACGUACGCGGCGGAUGUGGCCAAGUGGUUGGAGGGGUCCCUAAAACCGCAGCUGCGCCAGUUUCAGCGCCGCAUGGUGCAGAUCGAGUCGCACGGAUGGCAACUGACAGCCGAGGACGCGCUGCAGGUGCGCGGAAACCUCGAUGCGUGCAUGUCCAUGGUGGAGCAGUUCACAAAGUUUUCGCUGCUGAACAUGGAUGUGGUGAGUCAGUCGUGGCGGCCGGUGCGAGUUUCAGCGCUACUGCGCCGCUUCGCGGUGGAGGCGAUGGCGUUUGCCCGGCAGCAGCAGCACGAGUAUUACUGCAACAUCGACUUGGUAGAGCCCAAGGCAGAGGUGUUUCUUGACUCCCCGCAGGUGCUCGCUAUACUGCGGCUUCUGCUGGGCGACGCGCUUCAGUGCCCCAAUAUGGGCGACGACGGGAACGCGAUCGUCGUACACGCGGAGCUGCGGGUGACCGUGGUGGAGCCGCAAGACACGAACCAAGUGCCGCUGAGCAUCGGAAGUCCUGUCGGCCGCGUGAGCGGUGGCGGCAGUAGCGCGGGUGGUUUUGCCGGUCUUUUCGCUCCGCCGAACAUGUCGUCGAUAGCGCCGCCAGAGAACCACAGCAGCAGCAGCAGCGCCGCCGCCGCCCAUGGACUGCGUAACGUGGUGGCCUCGCCGUCCGGGUCGGCCAAGCCCAGCUAUCCGGUGAUCCACACCCCAGUCUCCGCGGUGCAGUCGAGCAGUGAAGCCGCCCCCCUUAUCCCGUCGGGUGUCAGCCUGCCGCACCGGCCGCUGCCACGCGGGCAUUCACCGCCGCUGCAAGCGCAGAAGUCCUAUCAACACCACGGAAGCGAUACGGUGCUGCCCAACCAUAGCCACGACUCUCCUCUCGUAGCCCUGGUAAACGAAAAGGCCCCCGGCAGCGGCGGCAACGCCCAAGGUGGGGCGGACGGUUCCCCAAACUCUGCCGCGGUGUGGCCUACGCCUGGCUCUACGACGUCGAGCGGCGCCGGAAUGCGUGGUCUCCCAAGCGCACCCAUCUCCAACGCCCUCACCUCCACGCUGCGGCGCAUUCGCUUCGAGCUUCGUGACGACGGCCCAACAAUACCGAGCCUCCGCGGCCACGAGGCAGUGGCGAGCGAGCGCACGCACGACCACGCGUCACCAGAGAGCGCUUCUGUCGAUGAUUCUGCAGCCCUCAACUCGACCUCGCCAAAGUCGGCCUCGUGCACCAGCGAGCGAGUCGCUGGUGAUGGCGCCGGUGACGGAGGCGGGCUCAGUGCCGGUCUCGAAGCCAGCAGGAGCUUCACUUUUGCAGCAGCCAGCGCGCGUCGGGGCGCAGAGCUCGAGCAGGUGGAGAAGAUACUGGCCAACCUCGGCGGUGUCGUGUACGGCUUCACGCGGCCGGAGGUACCCGGGAACGUGGUACGGGUUGAGCUGCCGCUGCUCGUCGUGCCGGGCUCGACCGAUGACGGGCGGGAUGAAGAGAACGGCGGCGGUGGAGGCGGAGGCGGCACAGCGGCGCCGCCGUCCAGUGCUACGCGCACCUUCACGGUGAUUGUCGCCGACAGCAACCGCCUGCAUCAGCAGCAGCUCUGCCGCGUUCUUUGGGCGCGGCAGCACGCAGUCGUCCCCGUCACAAGCUUUCGCGACCUGGGACGCAAGCUGGAGAUGAACACCGCCGAUAUUCUGCUCAUUGACCCACUCCAUAUCGACAUCGCAUCCGAGGACUACGAGUCGCUGUUGGGCGACGACCCUUUCGACGACAUUCGCGUUCUGUCCGCACGGCUGGCGCUUGUAGUGAUGGCAUCUGACUUCAGUGACUGGCGCGUGCAGAAGCUGCUGAACCGGCACGCCGUUGUGGAACUACCCAAAGUCGGCUCCGGCGCCCUGGUCCACAUUGCGAUGCAGGAGGCCGAGCAGCUCGUCACGGAAAUGCGGGACGAGGAGGAGCGGCUGGAUCUGAUUCGCCGCACCUUCACGAACAGCUCAACCGAGCGCCACAAGAUCGGCAAACGCAUCGGCAAAGGUGCCUUUGGAGACGUGUUCGAGGUGGAGGACACGCUGACGGGCGGCAAGAUGGCGAUGAAGCGCAUGCGCCUGCACGACGGACUGCUGGCGGACGAGGUGGUGCAGGAAAUCUUAGCCAUGACGACGCUGACGCAUGAGAAUAUCAUUCAGUACUUCUACUGUGAAAAGGAAAGCGACACGCUGCUGCGCCUGUACAUGGAGCUGGCGCCUGGCGGCACGCUGCGUGACAAGAUUCGGGAGACGCCCGGAGUGCCGCUGCCCUUCGAGGAGAUUGUGCACCACCUCUCGUGCAUCUGUCACGGCCUCGCGUACGUGCACGAGAAGAGCUACGUGCACGGGGAUCUCAAGACGGCAAACCUUCUGCUUGGCACGCGCAACCGCACCAAGAUUGGUGACUUUGGUACCGCGAAGCACUUGGCGCCGCAUCAGCUGCUCUACACGAUGGUCGGCACCCCGCAGUAUAUGGCGCCGGAGGUGCUUACCGCAGAUGUGGAGCAGAGACUCGGCUACGACUUCAAGGCCGACAUUUGGUCGCUGGGCUGCAUCGUGCUGGAGAUGGCCACAGGCAGCCCGCCCUUCGCACACAUGGAGUGCGCGCAGGGGAUGGGUAUCAUCAAGUACCUCACCGAGCUGACGGACACUCCUGACCUGUCGCCGCUGUUCUCCGGCAACCCGCUCGUGUACGAGUUCGUGAAAAGCUGUCUCGAUGUCGACCCCCAAAACCGCCCGACGGCGCAGGAGCUGCUGCACUUUGACAUCUUGGAAGGCGCCGUGGCGAGUCAGCGAGCGGAACGGCUCGUGCGGCGUGCGGAGAUGCUCUACAAACUAAACAAAUACGCCGCGAUGCGCGCCGACGGCGGCGGUGGCGGGACGGGGAGGAACACCAGUGGCGGCGGCGGUGGCCGGGGUGGCGCCGCACGGGGCGGAGGCCAUGACGGCUCAGAGGACAGCGAAGAGGCGGAGGGUGACGAUGGCAACCACAGCAGCCUCUACGACAGUGGGGUUCUCUUCUCCAGCAGCGACAGCACCGCUUACGAGGAGGAGUACGACGACGAAGACGAUUAUGACGAGAACGACGAGCUGAGCGAGCACGACAGCGCCGAGGAUGUGAUGGAGAACGACAGUGUCCCAAGAGAGAAGCGCGACCGGCAGCACUCCCCUCCUACAUCGUCCUCCCCGGCUUUCAUGCCUGAAGGAGCGAAAUAGCGAAUGAUGAGAGAAGACGGAAGGAUCGACGAAAAUGCGUGCGCUUGUGUGUGUGUGUGUGUGUGUGUGUGUGUGUGUGUGUGUGUGUGUGUGUGUGUGUGAGUGUGAGCGUGUUGGAGGGAGACGGGGGCUGAAGCGCUACGCUGGCGCCUGGCGUGUCUUGCUUUGCCACCGUGGGUUGCCGAUGUACAUUAGCGGCAGGUAACAGGAGCGAGUGCUAGAUCAUACCAGUACAAUUUUCGUGUCUGUUCCAUGUUAUCGGGCGCGCCGCCUCCGCCCACCCCCUCCACCGAUCUGUCCCCUGCCCCGCUCUCUCGCCCACGGCGUCUCCCUUCACGGCUUCUUGCUAUGGUGGGUCUGUGAAGCCUCCCCUGUGUCAGCACCGCCCCAUGCACCGAUGCGGAGAACAGAAUGAGAGAGGGAGGAAGGGGAGAGGCCCACACGUAUGCACAGCGGCUCUGCAUGGGCUUGGCGCGGUUGCGGAUGAGGGCGUCCGUCAUGCCGCUCCUUUGGGGGUUGCUUCUAUAGUAGUUGUUGGUACGUAAAUGCUCGGGGGUGUUGGGAGGGCUAGGGAGCGCAUGCACGGAUGAUACGCUGUGCCGUUUUUCGUACAUAACUGCGCUGUCUGCGUAAGCAAGGCAUAUAUAAAUGUAACGCAUGGAAAGCGUCGCCGAUCGUGACGGAGGAAGGGAAAAGCUGGCCGCACGUGAUGUAAGCGCAGCCAGAAGGGCGGUCGCGGCGCAGACUCCUUGUUCGUAUUUCUCUCCCUCCCUCUCGUGACCACAAAUGGGUGUAACCCACGAAGAAAGAAGGCGAGCGAUUGGCAGCAGCAUCUAUGCCUUGAUCACCAAACUCCGUAAUGCCUGUGCGAGAGCCGGUGAGCGAGAGGCGCACACACGCACACACAAGCACAAAUGUGAGCUCACACUAGUGCUCUCCCAGAACAGCCGUCUUUUCGCCUUUCCUCCUCCCCCAGAUCCCAACACGCAAGUGUCUGCCCCUCACAGCCUCCACGUUGUGUGUAUUCUAUGUGUGUGUGUGUGUGUGUGUGUGUGUACAUGUGUGUUGGUGUGCUCCUCCACCUCCGCCCUCUUCUUGUGUUGUUUGGAUCUUCGCUACGCGCAUGCUCGCACAUCCGCGCCGCCACGCGACUCUUCAGCCCCCCCCCCCAGGCCUCGCCCCCUCCUCUCGCCGCCCCCUCGCGUGUGCGCCUGCGUACAACGUCCGCCUCUCUGUCCCUCUCCUCCUUCCCGCUUCUUUACUCGUAUCGCCUUCGAGGCUGCCGGUCAG